ACGCCUGCCCAGUGAACCAUUAAACGGCCGCGGUAUCCUAACCGUGCAAAGGUAGCGCAAUCAUUUGUCUAUUAAUUGUAGACCUGUAUGAAAGGCAAAAUGAAAAUCUGACUGUCUCUUAUAAUUUAUCAAUUAAACUGAUCUUCUAGUCCAAAAGCUAGAAUAAUAACAUAAGACCAGAAGACCCUGUGAAGCUUUAACUAAACCAUUAAAUCAACUAAUGACUACUUUCGGUUGGGGCGACCUUGGAAUAAAACAAAACUUCCAAAAAAUCUAUGCGAGAACGCACUACUUCAGGCUGACAGGCCAUUAUGACCCAGUAAAUCUGAUAAAUGAACCAAGUUACUCCAGGGAUAACAGCGCUAUCCUCUUCAAGAGCCCAUAUCAAAAAGAGGGUUUACGACCUCGAUGUUGGAUCAGGACAUCCUGGUGGUGCAGCCGCUACCAACGGUUCGUUUGUUCAACGAUUAAUAGUCCUACGUGAUCUGA
RNAcentral lists this ribosomal RNA (489 nucleotides) under Asthenodipsas laevis (smooth slug snake). RNAcentral describes it as "partial 16S ribosomal RNA". It matches the Rfam family "Bacterial large subunit ribosomal RNA", at positions 1855 to 2608 of the family's 2925-position model. The record is from RNAcentral. Lineage: Eukaryota; Metazoa; Chordata; Lepidosauria; Squamata; Pareidae.